GCAGAAAGUAGAGCCCAGAGAAGAAACAUGCAAACCAAGAUUUCUGCAAGUGAUUCAACAUUUUAUUUUUUUUCCCCUUCUCUUUUCUCCAGUAAGCUAAAUUUGUUGUUGUUCCCACAGUGAGACCUCAGACUGUUGCAAACCAAUAAUCGCAAUUGCUGCAGAAUCCUUGAGGGUUCACCUUCUAGGUCUUCAGACCUGCAUAUGAAAGGCCAAUUUAUUUAUUUAUUUAUUUGUUUGUUUGUUUGUUUAUUUAUAAAGUAUUGAUUAAAUUUGAAGUGUGGAGUCAUUCUUGAAUUUAAAGGCAGCAGAUCUGCUGUUGCAUACUUGCUGGUGAGGACUGGCAUGGGAAGGGAGUGCUCAGAGAGAGUAAAUCAUUCUCUCGCAGGGUGAAUGAGGUAAGAAUAUUACAGGGGUGCUGUGCUGCUCUGCUGUGGUUACACAUCCGUAGCAUACAGGGGCCCGUCGCCCACUUUCACUAUAAUGCUUUCAGAAUAAAAAAAACACUACCUCUGAAGAAACAGGAAUCCCCUGCAGAAACAGAAGCGUAUCUUGUGCAAAACCCCUCUGAGCAGAAGUUCAGAGCAGCGCUGGUGGGUCAGCAGUCUGAAGUCAGCAGUAGCUUGCAUAAAGCAAAACUCAUAAACAAGCCGGAUGUGAGUGCUUUCAGAAGUGCAUUAGAAAGUUGACAGAGCUGAAGUGGAACAACUUCCUUGGAAAAAAGUCAAAGAUUGCUAGAGUUUGGAGUUCUGAUGAUCACAUUCCAGUAGACUCAUGUCUCCACCCUGCUGUGUUUCUCCUUUUCCCAACGACAGCACUAGAGUUUUGCCCUUUUAUUUUCCCUGGAACUUCAGAACUGAUUGAGUACGUGUGAUGUUCAUAAGCUGUUGUGUAACAUCCAAAUGGAGCAAUAUCUUCAAGUUGAGUACAAGACCUUGCAAGCUCAGUCAACAAUACCAAGAAGUUGAACUGGAUAAGACAAUUUUGUCAGUUGGUGGUAGAUUGUGAAGAUCUGGCAGCAUCUUCAUCCUUGGGGUUCAGAGGGCUAAGUGGGUCAGGACAGGGAGGACAGCCUACCUAUAGACACAAAGCUUUAAACAAGUGAAAACCCAGAAAACUCAAAACCCCUUAACUCUGAAAUUUUGGAGGUCAGAUUACUUCUGGCCAGUUGCUUGUUUUUCAGCCAUGCCUGUGUCUAAGUGAAUGCAAACACUGUAAGUGAAAGUUAACAAAAGCCCAAAUGAUUGGCUGGCAGACUGCGAUGAUUAUUCAUACUACUUUGCUAUAUUGUAAAUAUUUCAGCUAGAAAAUAUAAUGGCUACAAUCAUUUCUGAAAUAUGUUUGGCAGAGAAACUUGAAAUGGAAACAACAAAAUAAAGUUAAUAUGCCUUUUGACUUACGGUUAUGC
This 1408-nucleotide long non-coding RNA is filed under the name Athene cunicularia (burrowing owl). RNAcentral's name for it is "lncRNA (ENSACUG00000013830.1)". Lineage: Eukaryota; Metazoa; Chordata; Aves; Strigiformes; Strigidae. The record is from RNAcentral.